This is a long non-coding RNA of Sarcophilus harrisii (Tasmanian devil), 584 nucleotides long. RefSeq lists it as uncharacterized. The record is from RefSeq and is a predicted model, not a curated record. Lineage: Eukaryota; Metazoa; Chordata; Mammalia; Dasyuromorphia; Dasyuridae. The transcript is spliced from 3 exons.
AAGAGAAAAUAAAGGACUGGAGGGCUAGAAAGGAUGGCGGAUCAUAUUUAUGGUUUAGUACAGAGUAAAAGGACCUUUCUGUGAGGACUUCAGCUCCUGCUUUUUGUAUUUGGAAGCCAGGUCUGAUGACUACACAAUGCAAGCAAAAAGUAUUUUCAGGCUUAUGUUGAGGAAACCAUCCUAAAAGGUGGCCUUGUUCAGCUGAAAGAUAUAUGAUUUUUUUGAUGAAUGGAAUUUACUGCACUGAUAGAAAACAGCAACUCAUCUCUAAUGUUUAUGGGAGUCCCAAAGGGUUUGGAAUUGAGAUUUCAUUAAUAUAAAGAACUUUGUGUUGAAGUUCCUUGAUGAAAUGAAGAUUAGUACUUUUCUAUUAUACACACACAUAGAUUUGGGUGAGGGGGGGUAGGGCACUGGGAAAUUGUUACUUGAACCCAUAUGGCCCGAUUGCAAAGAAAGUUAUUUUUACUCACUACACCAUGGUGCAUCUCCAAGUUUUAAAAAUUGCUUAGGAUACUGAGAAGUGAAAGCAAUUGCUAAAGAUCUGUGAUUGAUGUUAAUUUGUGAUAGAUGUUAGAUUCCUGACU